Molecule: transfer RNA, 69 nt
Filed under: Schistosoma mansoni
Lineage: Eukaryota; Metazoa; Platyhelminthes; Trematoda; Strigeidida; Schistosomatidae
Source: RNAcentral
ACACAGUAGCUGAGUGGAUAAAGCGAUGGCAUUUGAAGCGAACGGUACUAGGUUCGAGUCCCGGAGUAA